UUCCGAAGGUCAGGUGGGUCCUAGACUGCCUUUGAGAGCCAGGGCUCAGGGAUGCGACCAGGGCUCAGCCAUUCACAGGGGUCGGCAGCACUUUCUGAACCCCGGGCCUCUGCUGGGGCUAGGGCGCACGUGGGCCACCAUGGGCUGCAGGCUUCACAGCCCCUGCCCCUGGACUUCUCUGCUCCACAAGAUUUUGAGAGCAAAGUUUCAACACAAGUCAAGAGCAAGAUCCCUUUCCAGAAGGCGCCCCCAAAAUUUGGGAGGCACAGGUAACCUGAAAAGGCAGAGUUUAAUGCAGUUUCUGGAAAGAUGGGACUUCAGAGGCUGCUCACAAUCCGGACGCCAGUGUAUCUUCCCCAGGCGGCUGGUGGAAGGCUCACGGGGCAGGCACGAGACACACAAGCUCAUGCAGACAGGCAUCUGUGUUCGUCUCUUCAGCCUUUUUUUUCAAGUUUGAAGAACAAAGAGCAUGAAGGCCAGGCCCCCUUGCCCCUUACUAAGCCUCAGCGCAGCCUAUACAGAGCCAACGAUAAAGCGGCAUCGCCUGGCAGGCCAUGACAGAGCUUUCCAGAAACAGAAACCAGGGCAUGAAAGGGAAGGCUCACACCACCCGUCCCCCACUGCGCCGCUGGCCCUGCCGGGCUGCACGGCUACCAGACGGGACGGGAGGUCCCUGAAAGCAUCCAGCUGCCAGGACGUUCCUCGGUGGUUCUGCAGAUCAGGUCUCCCGGCCACUCCAGGGGAAGUGGGGGUGAGACACCCCGCCUUUGAUGUAUGAACUCCGUCCUGAAAUCGGACCCUGAGGCAGAAACUGUUUUCUCUCUUCCAUCCCCUGCACCCAGUGGGAAGCUCCAGGCGCACUUCCUCCCCAGCUGCUUUUCCCAUAUUGUCAAUUACCUUCCUGCUGAGGGCAAGGGAUUCCUCUGCCCUGAAAGGGUCCACCUCCAAAAGGCCGCCAGUUUCCUCCUUCCUCUUCUCCACAUGAGGUGACCCUCAGUCUCACACACCGGUCAGUCGGGCGGGAUGUGUCCUCUCUCAUUGACUUAACAUCAGAGCUGGCUACAGCUUGUGUCCAUCCAGAGCUGACAAAUUUGAACCCAACACCUUCACCCAGGGUCCCAGAAUGGUGAACCCCAGGGUCUGGCUCAGAAGGACACAUUUUUGAGUUGAUUCAGUGAAGUCCUGGAUUUUUCUGGGUAUCGAGAAUGAAAUCUAAAUAACUUAUGUAUUCACAGUGUUCUGGAGUUUAGGAAACCCUGGACCGGGGAGCUGACGAGAUGCUGGCUGCAAGCUUCGUCUUAGGAGGCUGGUGGAAAAAACUGACCUACAAAUAACAAUCUGCAAAGCUGACAUUUACUGUGUGAGGCAUAAGACAGGGAACAGCAGAGGCCACGGCUCCGCGUGUCACGGGUCCUAAGAUGACACUUCUGUCCAGGAGCAGGAGAGAGCAGACCACCAAGGGGCCCGGCCCACGUCAGGAGGGGCUUCACAGAGACCCUCCCCCUCCCCAGGAUCAACAACUGACCCACGACGUAGGACUCGGAAUAACUCUGGAAAAUGAAUGUGCUCCCUAAGACAAACUUCCCACGAGGCAGGCGUGUAAAUAGUUCAUACUUCACCGACAUCAGGACGAAGCAGGGCGUGUACGUCUCCUAGCACAGGGUAAAGUCAUUCCCAGCUGUUAGUACUUUUUUAUAGUAUAAAUAAAAAGUGUUACUUCCCCUCAGACCCUUCCAGUGACUUCCCACGGUGCCUGGCAUAGAAUCCACACUUUGUCCUUUACCCGCCAUGGUCAAGGCAUGCGGUUCCUCUUCUUCCUCCGCCCUCUAACCCACCCCUCCCUCGGUGUCACAGGUCCUCUGUCACUGUGUAACAGAAAUCGUAACUGGGCCAACUCCACUGGCUCAGGAACCACUCAGGGGAUCAGUACAAUUUACUUCUGGGUGUACCUGGGGUUAGGAAGCACUGCCUAGGGUGCACUCUCAGGCACUGUCCCGGGCUCUGCUUCCUGGCCACCGUAACUAAGCCACUCUGCUCCCCCACCAGCAUGCACCAUGACGUUCCUGCCCUGGAGCCAGGAAACCACGGACUCAAUCCCGAAACCUGGAGCCCAUCCUUUCCCGUUUAUGCAGCACGUGUGGGUACCGAGUCCCAGCCACAGGAGAGCUGGCUGACACCCGUUCUGAGCCUCCUUGAGCACACGCCCACGCUUCCCCUGGGCCUAGAAGACUCUGUUCUUUAAAGGACUUGGACCCCACUUCUCUAAGGAUCAGCUCCACAACCAGUUUCUCAAGAAACCACCGGGCAGAAAUGCUUCCCGGCCGCGCUAUCUGCUCACGUUGUUGAAUGCCAGUCUUGCUUCCUCCACUGCCAGCUCCGAGAAAGACGGAGACUGUGCCUGUUUGUCCCUGCAUUCCUGGUGCCUAAACUGAGCCUCAGCGCACAGCGCGCUCUUUCACGAGGAGUGAACCACCUCAUCUCUGCAGCUGGUGUCCAGCACCACAGGGAAGGACCAAAAGAGCAGAGCCAAAGCAGAAACAUAUUUAUAAGCCUUCCGCACCCGCUCUUUCAUAAACACCAGCCACGAUCCGGCUGCGUCAGCAGAGCACACGCAGGCAGCCCCAGCUCCUGCUCCUGCUCCUGCUCCUGCUCGGCUGUACCCGGGCCUGCUCAGAGCUCACUGCUAACCCGCACUUGGAAACGCGCCAUACCCCCACAAAGCGGUCCCCUCUGGGGAACGACAGUGACCAUGCAUCCGCCCAGCAAGCUGCCAUCUUCCAGUUCUCCAGGCUGUCUCUGCCGACCGGCUUUCAGUAACACAGGUUGCUAAGCAACCCCCAAGGAGCCGGGAAGAUGGAAAAAAGUGCCUGCCAGAGAUGCUUUAUGACCCGAAUGAGCUGCCCUACGUGUGUCUGGCUGCCUUCAAGGUAACCAAAUAAGAGAUAACACUGGGCUAUUUUUGCAUCAUGAAGAAAAACAUUUGGCUCCUGCCCAGCAGGGCAAUUACCUAUCAAAGCCUCGGCAAGGCCCCGUGGGAUGAGAAAUGGUAACGGAUAUGGAGGGAAAGAGGCGUCACUGACCUUCAUAAAUGCUGAUGAUAUGAGGGUGGCUGAGGGAUGACAUGAUCUCAAUCUCUCGUCUGAUGUGAACCAUGUCUUGUUCAUCCUUAAUUUUGUCCUUACGAAUGGAUUUUAUAGCAACCUAUAAAGUCAGGAAAUGAAAUGUUACUCAGAGAACUAAACAGAUGCAAAUCAGCCAUUGGGGGGAGGGUUAAAAAAUAAAUACAGAUGUUACUUGUUGGCAAAACUGACAAUCACCAAAACAAAGUUCCAAAAUCCC
This is a long non-coding RNA of Cavia porcellus (domestic guinea pig), 3339 nucleotides long. RefSeq lists it as uncharacterized. The record is from RefSeq and is a predicted model, not a curated record. NCBI's taxonomy places the organism in Eukaryota, Metazoa, Chordata, Mammalia, Rodentia, Caviidae. The transcript is spliced from 2 exons.